CUCAAUGUGGUUAUUUACUUAAAUGCAAAGUCUGCAUUAAUUUAUCUUGUUCUGAAUGGCCCCAUAUUUAUUAGUAAGGUGGAUUUGCAGGUUUUAACUUUUAAACCUCAAAUUCCUGCUUUUAAAUUCCCAUUUAGAAAGCUUCAAAAGAAUGACAAGUCACUUAGUGCAGUUACUAGAAUCAUUUUUGAGGACCCAUAAUCAGCAUCUACUUUGAAUAACAAUUGAAAGAGCUAAGAGGAAUUACUUCAUUCAUCUUCAAACAAGGCUACAUGGAAAGAGCAGAGGAAGACUGAGCAGUUCGUAGUGCACACACGAUACAUACCAAAGUAAGAUUGCAGUAUGCUACAUCUAGCACACUUAUUUAUGGCUCGCUAGCAGAAAACCAAAACACCAUCUAAGCAUAACAGGCUCACAAACUCGGUCUAGUUAUUACAACCAUGCAUGAGUAAAAUCAUGGACGAAUUGGUGCUGGAACACUGCCACCACCUCCAGGAAUGGGAACCUCAUAGCCAGGGUUAGGAACAAAGGUGUCAUCACCACCGGGAACAUAACUGCGUCCUGGUCGACCCGAUCCUGAUCCGGCUCCAGCUCCUGUUCCAGCUCUUCCAGCGCCACCAGUAAAUGGAUUCUGGGGUAUAAGCCCAUGCUUUGGUGGAAAUCCUACUGGUCCAACGCCUGGAAUGUACACUCUGCCAUCAUGCUUGAACAAGAACUCAGGCUCUUUCUUGUCCUGGGUGUUAGAGUUCAUGGCAAUGUUGCUUCGUCCAGCAACUGCGACAAGGAGGAUAUUGGAGAUGAGAAGGAGUGAGAGUAAAAGGGAAACUCUGUGAGCCAUUCUCUCUCAGAUAACAAGUGCAAAGAGGUUAUCAGUGAUGUGUAUUCUGGUAUUCAACAACUUUUGAGUUGAAGAAGCUAGAAGGGGGUGACUGCAUUAUAUAGUUCUAGAUUCUGCAGUAUUGAGUGAACUUUGGCGGUGAGUAAAGUGUUUCUUGAGGAAAUGUCGCUGGCAGGGUCGUGGUUCAUGAAUCAUGAUGCAUGCUAGUAAAUCAUUUGUUCAGCCUCAGUUUAUUAUUACCAUUUGUAGAAGAUAUUCACCAAAGUUGUAUCGGCUACUAAAUGCAGCCUUCACAUGGCUGAUUUAUGCACCGUAAUAUGUAGAAAUCUUGGGAUUGCUUCUACCUACAUUCUAGAUGUUUUAUUACUUUCACUUGCUAGUUGUUACUUGAGCAUUUUUUAAGCUGAAAGAGAAGUGGUAGUUAAUGCACUAUGUAGCGGCACUUUCAACAUGCCCUUUUCACACCGUAAAAUAUUUGUAGGCAUACCCAUUGUGCAGAUAUCCAACAGACAAGAUAUCCAGAGUGAGAAAGAAAGAAUUGAGAGAGAACUAACUAAUGUGAUAUACGAUGGAAUAAAAAGAUAGGAAGAGAAAUGAGAAAUCUGUUGGAUGUCUGUACUGUUUGUAUGUCUGACUAUCAUUCACAAUCCAGUGAAAAAGAACAAUUGUUUUUAAGGAAAACGUUACCAACACUCAUUUUUAACACUUUUUCAUUAAUGAUUGAAAUUAAUAUUGGUCCACUAAAAAUAUUGGUUCCCCAUCCAAUUCACAUAACUCAGAUUCUCUUCUUCAUUUUGCAUCUUCCUUCGUUUCCUGGGCUUGAACCAUCAUGGGCUUGGCCCAUUCACCAUUUAGCUGCCCCUUCCCUUGAACUCCACUAUAUUGGGAGUUCAAUUUUGUAUUUCCCACCACCUUAGAUCAUAUUUUGAAAUUGAAUUUAACGGUGCUCACUAGGGUGGGCACUUUGCAUUUUGGUCCACUGGUGGACUAGGGGAUAUUUUAGACUUUUUCGUUCCUUUCUUUCUCCCUUCCACUCUACCUUCCACACUACCUUGAGUACCAUCCUCAACAGAACAUGAAACGCCCUUUUACUCUGAUGAUUCUGAUUAUUAAGCUGCUUUAAUAUACUGGACAUUGAAAUUGAAAUUUCCAAUUUCCAUUACUUAUUAUUAUUUCUACUCCUCGAUCUCAAAUGAUUUCAAUCUCUGUAAUAUUUGUUUGUGUUAAAUUUCUAUAUAAACUAGAAAACAAAAGGAUCCAUGGAAAUGCAUGUUAGCUCACCCCUAUAUUAUAUCAAUUCUUCAGAUUUUUGUCAAACCCACACCCACACAUACAGAUCUGAAACAAAUGUAGUUUGCUCCUGAUUCUGGAAUUGGAUUGAUCGAUCCUUAUUUAAUUUCCGUUUUUUAACAGUGUUGCUGCUACUCCUCCUUUCAAGACCAGUGUUGAAAAUUGGUUCUGUCAAUCGAACCCAGAUCUGAAGAGUGGCGACACGGUGAACGCGUGGAUCGAGUUCGAUGGGUCCAUUCAGGGGUUGAAUGUUUGGGUCUCGUAUUCCAAUCUGAAACCGAAAGAUCCCAUUUUAUCGAUGAAUCUUGACAUGGGUCCGCUUCAACGCAUGAUAACAUGGAGACUCACCGGGUGGGUGGAGUGGUGGAGCUUCAACUCGUCAUUUGGUGGAACAGGUUUCUCAACAGCGUCGUCGCCGCCGCCGCUCCUUCUCCGGACCCGUCCGAAAAUACAUCGAAUGAGAUUUGGGAGCGGUUGAUGGGGUUGUCACUGCAGGGGCUUUCGUUUUGGCUCUGUUUGCAGGGUCGCUGUUUUGGGUUUAUUCUAAGAAGAUGAUGAAGCAAGUUAACCGUUCUGAUUCUCUUGGAUAACUGGUAUUAUGCAAGGCCAGCAAAGGCACACCCUCAAUGCACUUUCUCUGAACUAGUCACGCAAUACCCAUGACCAAAACAACCAGAAAAAAAGGGUCUUUUUACUUUUUUACCCUUUGAUCAUCCAUCAAAUCCUAGCCAUCUAAAUAAAGAAUAUUCCAAGAUUCUUAAAUCCAACGGUGUUUAAGUUUGGUCCACCGGUGGACCAAAAUGCAAAGUGCCCACCCUAGUGGGCACCGAGUUUAACUCCUACCUUAUCUCUAGAAACCCUAACAUGCGAAUUAUCAAGUGUGAUCUCCUUGUGGCUUCUUCUCACUUUGCUUAUCAAUCUUCUACAUGAUGAUUGUGGUUUAACCAUCCAUCACUCUUUUCUCCUUCCAUCUUUGUAUUUUCUUCUUCCAAAAAUUCAUCUCAUUUUCUAUUUCCUUUCUUUCUUUUCAUUUUUUUCCCACUUUUCUUCUACAUACCAAACAUACUUAUACAUGGUUUGUUUAUAAGGAAAAUGAGUGGAAUCAAAAGGGGAGGAAGAGAUUAUGAAUGGAAAAGUGUGUAUUCCAUGGUUGGGAUAAGUUGAAAAGGGUGGGGGAUGAAUAGAAAUAAUGUUUUGUUCAUAUUUCUUAUCAUCUCCAGCUUCAAUCUACAUUUGACAAUCCGGCAAAAAAUUUCUUGUCCAAAUUUUAAUUUCUAUAUUGGAUACAUUGAAUUGAAGUUUGCAAGUAACACUAAAACAAAACAUACACAAACAUUAUCGUUGUGUUUGCACUAACGCUCAAAAUAAACAACUUUCUUAACAGAGUGUAAGCAAAAUAUAUUAGGAACAAUUUUUUUCUCACUAGAAAACCGAAAAAGUAAAAAACAAAAAUGAGAUGGUCGAAAAGUGUAAGCAUAUAUGAUUGAAGUUGCAGGGCUCACAUCACAAAUAAUAACCGAAUCUCAUCAAUGAAUGUGAUGAGUUGAAGUUCAAGAAGACAGGUCACUCAAGUUGUCGUUGAAUGUUUAUAUCAUCAAAAACUAAUAAUAUAACUUGGAUAAAUUUUUUUUAAAAAAAUUAGUGCAAUUUAUUUAAUAUUCAUUUACAAGUGAAGAGCUUUGAUAUAUAUUUUUUAUCAUAAAUUCUUAUAUAUUAAAUUUUUAUAAUUUAUUCAUUUGUAUUUUAAAUAAUGAACUGAAUAGGGGAAAAGAACUCUUCCAUUUUAGAAUGUUACGGAAAGAACGCCAAAAUAUUUAAUAGUUUUAUUAAAUAAAAUCAAUACAUUUGACAUAAUUGACAUAAUAUAACUAAUAACGUUCCUUUUACGUUAGUCUUUUCCGAUUGGGCCCCCAUGCAGCUUUUUUAUGGCUUAUCAUCAUUUAUCAUGAUUCAGUUUACUUUACAUAAAGCUUUCAAUUAUACAUUUCCUUAAUAAGUAAUUUCCAGUUCAUGAUAAAAUGUUCUAGAUUUAGUUGGAGAUAUAUAUUUCAGUAGUAAUGGCACUCUAUCACCAAACAUUCAAAUUUGUUGGGAUUCAACAUUACCGGUAAAUCGUAUCCUUGCCAUUUUCCAUUUCAAAAAAAAUAAACAUUACCGGUAAGAAGAAGAGAAUGAAUAUUCCAUGAGCAUGGCAUACUAUAUAUAUAUAUAUGUUAAUUGUCAAAUUAUUCUUUGAAUUUAUAAGUGAGUUUGAUUUUAAACCCUCUUAGGAAAAAUGACGUUUAGUAACGGUCAAAAACCGUCAUUAAUUGUAAAAAUGACCACCCCUAAACGUUUUUUUCCUCAUAGAGACUAAACUAAAAUUAAACUCGCUUAUAAAGUCAGGGACUAAUUUGACCAUUAAUCAUAUAUAUAUAUAUGUGUGUGAGAGAGGGGGGGGGAAUCAACUUAGGGUCCGUUUUGAAACGAACCAAAAAGCACUUAUUCGAACUCUGCUCUCUGACAGUGACCAAAACCAAACUGGCUACAAUCGUGGGGAUGGGGACCAAGUUAUUUUCCGGGAAGAGACUAAAAUCAAAUUCUCUUACAAACAAGUGAUUAAUUUAAUGAUUAAACCUUAAUUUAAUUACUAAAAAAAUGAAUUAUUAAUCGCAAAAGUUUAAAAAUAAAAUUAUAUUAUUAUAAAUACAGUAUCCAACACAAACUUAGAAGGACUUUUAGGCUAAUGAAACAAUUUGUUCCUUCUACUUCUUCUGCAUUCAAACUCAAACAAUGGACUUUAGCUUACUUGCUGGAAUACUUUAGUGUUUGCUUGAUUUUCAAUUGAAAACCAUCCCCAAUUUAUGUUUAGCAAAGACAAGAAUUUUCCCUUGAAAAAUGUUGCAUUAUAUCUCAAGAUUACCUUUGCAAGAAUGCAAUCUGAUACAGAUAAACAUCUCAAUGCCUGUUAUCACCGCCUUGCAUUAUGCUGAAACACUUACAUUUUGUGACCUUAACUAAGCAUUAGUUUUCUACAAGUACUUUUAGUAAACAAAAGAGCAUCAAAAUGAUACCACUUCCACAAAAUUCUACUAUCUUGAAAUCACUGUUGCACCAGGUAUUAACAAUAAUCUAUCAUGAAUUUGGCCUUUCCUCAGAAAAUCUAGGAAGUUGAACAAGCGAGUUUACCCGAGUUACCCCCUCCAAACCUGACCAGUUUUGAUCAUCAGCGUAUGAUGUUGCAUCUUCAACAUCGACAGGUACUGCUCCAUUAGUCUCAUCUUCUUCCGAGGAUCUCACUGUGAAGUUCCUCUGCAAACAUGGCUCUGAUUUUUGUCCAUCAUCUGACUCAAUUGGGUUGCCUGAAUGGUUGCUCUGGAUGGUUGCAGAAGAAAAGCCUUGUUCAUCAUAAUCUGAUUCUGAGUCCAUUUUCCCAUCCAGAAAUAAGCACACAACAGCACAGUCAUCCAUCCUUGAAGUUGGAUAUUUAAGUUUCCACUCCCGAGCAGCGGAAUUUACCACUGUUCUAGCUGCUGAUGCUCGCGUUGGGGAUGAAGAUACAAUCUCAACCACCUCCUCAUUGCUUAAAACAUCCCAGACCUGAACAAAGCAUUAAGAGAAUCAAUAUCAUUCAGUGGAAGAUGGAAACUCAAAAGUCGAUAUCCUCUAAGUUACGUCCACUUCCCUUAUACUUGCACAUUCAAAGAACUUACUAUUUUCUUUUCCAUAUUAGAUAUUUCAAUGAAUAGCAUUAUUAUGUAGCGGAAAUGUUUUUCUACGUAGAUUGUAUAUAAACAAAGUUACUUUACAGCUCUUGUGCCUUUCAAAUGAACGAAUUGGUAUAUGACCAACAUUUUUUGCAACACCUUUCACGUAGAAAAUAUUUUCUGCGUAGAUUGUAUAUAAGCCAAGUUAAUUUACAGCUCUACAUGAAAGGUGUUGCAAAAAAUGUAGGUCAUAUAAUGUUCAUGCUAAAACAAACUUAUCCCACGAAUGAAAAGAAGAUAACUCUAUUUGGCAACCCAAAGAGAGGCUCUUUGUUUAUCUUCCGUUCAACUCCUGAAAAAUCAGAUAUCAGCACUUCACUCUUGUACCCCAAAAGAAAAAAAGAUAAGAAUAAUUCAAUAACAGGCCAGAAUGAGAAAGCUUGCAUUAUGAACAGAAUUUAUAUAUUUCUUCAUAUUGAAGAGAGCUUAUUGCUUAAGAAAUACCGCCGUCUGAGUUGUCAGAAUGCCAGCUAAUUUAACUGUAAUGGUGCAGAUUGACAAACAGCCCGAGAAGUUACUGGUUCAGUCAAAUUGCUAAACACUCUAUUUCCACUCAAUGGUUAGUUUCGAAAAGACACUUCUCAGUUUCCUUAUGACCAUAUGGUUCAUGCUAUGCUAGCCUAGAUAUUUGCCUACACUGACCACAUUUUCUUAUUUCAAUAUCACAGCUCGACCUUGUAAGAUGAUUUCUUCAAGGCAGCAACAAAGCCAUAUUAACCAACAGAAACCAACCUUGAAAUUGCAGAUCAUGUAUGCUAAAAUUUCCUAGUCGGACAGGGAUAAAAAUCAUAACACAAUUUCUGAAAUGGCAAAGCAUAAUUAAACAAAGUACUAAAGAAAUUGAUAUGACAUUGAAAAUUCUUAAUCUUACCCCAUCUGAGGCAAUUACAAUGAAUUGAUCUCUGUCUGUAAGUUGCCGGUGAGAAAAUUCUGGUAUGGAAAUCACACCAUACUCCUUCAAGCAGAAAUCUCCAAAUGCUCUAGCCAUUGCUAACCCUGGUGCAUCAUCAAAAGGCAACCACACCCUCGGCACUUCUGGCUCAUCUUGUAAAGCAAAUACCCUACCUUUGCAUCGCUUAAUUCUUUCUGCUUCCCCUAUAAGAGUUUCCAUCCAAGUUGGUGUCAAUAUCAACAGAAAAGCAUAUAUUCAACAGAGAAUAAAUGACGAUGGCAUAAGACAUACUUGGCAAAUCAGGCUUCAAAUCAACAGUCAACUGAACUGCCACCAUGGAGUCAUUGCUGUCCUUGGAUCCCAUGAUUGCUCGAGAAUCCCCGAUACUGGCCAUGAACAGAUUUGAACCCUGUUGAGAUAAGAAAUUAUAAAAACUCAAUGUGUUUGGAUGGGGAUUUAAUUGAGAGAAUAAAUUUGUUGAGGGGAUUUUACAUUGCUUAAUCCAAAAUACAGGAUAUCAAAUCAGAGUAUCUUGAAAAUUAAGGUAAUUUUAUAGGGUAAUUUCCUAACUCAAAAUAAAAGAUUUAAAAUUCCAUCCUUUUUAGAAGGAAUUUUUGAAAAUCCCUUCCCUCAAACUCUCCUCCUUUACCCCUCACCCUCAACCUAUCAAAUAUUCUCCACCAAAUUUCUUAAUUCCUGACAAAAGACUCAAAAAAUGACAAUAAUCAAAAUAAACCAAGUUAUUAUUUUCUUGAAAUUUUGAAUUGUACAUCCAAACACAGUAAAGUUAUGGAAAACAAGAGUUCAGAUCUGCUACCUGCUUUAUUAUAGUCACGGCUGUGCUCCCACUACAGAAGCAGUCUAGAUUUGGAUGAGACCUGAGUUCUU
RNAcentral lists this long non-coding RNA (7654 nucleotides) under Lotus japonicus. RNAcentral describes it as "long non-coding RNA (LJAP_LNC000815)". Lineage: Eukaryota; Viridiplantae; Streptophyta; Magnoliopsida; Fabales; Fabaceae. The record is from RNAcentral.